GGGGAUUUAGCUCAGCGGUAGAGCGCUUGCCUAGCAAGCACAAGGUCCUGGGUUCGGUCCCCAGCUCCG
Molecule: non-coding RNA, 69 nt
Organism: Rattus norvegicus (Norway rat)
Lineage: Eukaryota; Metazoa; Chordata; Mammalia; Rodentia; Muridae
Source: Rfam